RNAcentral lists this unclassified non-coding RNA (3041 nucleotides) under Amphibalanus amphitrite. RNAcentral's name for it is "uncharacterized protein K02A2.6-like, transcript variant X1". Lineage: Eukaryota; Metazoa; Arthropoda; Thecostraca; Balanomorpha; Balanidae. The record is from RNAcentral.
GACUUGAUGUAAAUCAAAUGCGUGUGACAUGGAUCCGGCGGUAUCCGGCUACCCGCCGCCCUCCGCUAGCGCCACGCCUGCCGGGUAGGCUGACCCGGGCGGGGCGGCCGACCGCCGGGUCGCGGCGGCGGCCUGACCUUGGGGUCGUCAGUCGGGUCGGGAGCGCAGCGGCCGCCGGGCUGUGGUGUAUUGGUAUGGUGUCAGUGGUCGCCGAAUACAGAUACACUUCAUUGGCGACGAGGAUGAGAUGGCGUCGUUCGGCAGCAUCGGACCGUAUGAAGCGGGACGAGCGGAGUCCUGGGAUGAGUACUGCGAGAGGCUGGAUCAAUUUUUCAUCGCAAAUGAAGUAAGUGACCCUGCUAAGCAGAGAGCAAUUUUCUUGAGUGUUGUCGGCGGGGAAACUUACGGGAAGCUAAGAUCCCUUGUGGCCCCUCAGAAGCCAGGUGAGAUGCCGCUCAAGGAACUGUUGACUCACUUGCAACGCCAUUUUGAGCCAAGGCCUUCAGAAACAGUGGCCAGAUUCAGAUUUUUUACUUUUUGUCGGGCUGAGGGUCAGUCUGUGCAAGAUUACAUUGCAAAACUGAGGAAGCUGUCUGAACAUUGUAAUUUUGGUUCUUUCUUGUCCGCCAUGAUUCGAGAUCGGUUAAUUUGCGGAGUCAACUCGGACGCUAUUCAGACGCGUCUAUUGUCUGAAAGUAAUCUCACACUGGAACGAGCUGCCGAGAUCGCUGUGGCUUUGGAGGCUGCUGGCCAUGAUGUUCAGGAACUGAGAAGUGGUUUCAGGGACAGAGAAGGUGGCAGCAUCCAGGUCUCCACAGCGGACGUGCACCGAGUCGACAGAGCUCCUCGAGCGGCGGCAGAAGCGGGAGCCGACCGAGACAGGAGCACCAGGCGCUGGGGAGCCGGAGUUCGUCAGGUGACUGGUCAGAGGAGUGCAGGCGAUUCUCGCAAACCAAGUAAGUCCAGCGCAUCCGUUGCGUCCGGAAAUGAUGCCAAAUACCGGUGCUGGAGAUGCUUAAGUGGGCAGCAUCUUGACCGUAACUGCCCGUUCAAACUAAGACGCUGUUUCGAGUGUUCUAGGCUUGGACACACGCGAGCGGCUCACAGAGCAGGAACGGUUCACGUUGUAGAAGAAGACUUUGAGGUAGAGGCAGCUGAGCCGGCAGCUGAACAAGUUGGUCAGGUUGACGAAGAUGUUUAUGAUUUGUUCAGCUGUAAUAGUGCAAGCAAACGGCCCCCUAUUGUCAUUACAGCUGAGUUGAGUGGCAAACCAGUCCAGAUGGAGCUCGACACAGGCGCUAGUGCAUCACUGAUCAGUGAGGAGCUCUAUGAAAGUAUGUGGCCUGCCAGUGACCUUCCAUUGCAGGACUGUCCGCAGCGGUUCCGUACCUACACCGGCGAGGAGAUCAAGAUCCGAGGUGUCGCCGAGGUUGACGUCGCUGUUGAUGGUGCACCUGCGGUUCGACUACCGCUCAUGGUGGUCCAUGGAAAGGGCCCCAGCCUGUUUGGCCGCAACUGGCUUGAGAAGAUACGGCUGAACUGGAACAAGCUGUUCGAAGCAGAUCCAGAUCUGGACACAGGCGGAUCCAGUGCUGUCACGCGUCCUGGAGCUCACCAGAACCGGCUGGACGGCAGAUGCUGCGGACAACACAUCAGACCUGAAGCCGUACAUCAACAGGCAAGCUGAGUUGAGCAUCGAAAAUGGUUGCGUUUUGUGGGGCAGUAGAGUAAUCAUACCGCCACAGGGUCGUCACGCUAUGUUGUGUCAGCUGCAUGAGGGUCAUUUUGGUGUGGCCCGCAUGAAAAGUUUUGGCAGGAUGCACUUCUGGUGGCCGGGCUUUGACCAGGACGUAGAGAGGAUGGCUGCAGGAUGCCGUAGCUGCCAACGCUGGAGGAAUGCGGCGCCUCCAACGCCUCUGCAUCCAUGGGAGUGGCCCCGCUCUCCCUGGCAACGGCUCCAUGUCGACUAUUGCGGACCUGUCAACGGGGUGAUGCUUCUUGUCAUCAUCGAUGCUCACAGUAAGUGGAUGGAUGUGCACAUGACCAGAACAUCCUCGGCUGAGGUUACCAUUGAAAAGUUGAGGGAAACAUUUGCAUGUCACGGAGUUCCGGAGACUGUGGUCACAGACAAUGCCAGAUACUUUGUGUGUCCGGAGUUUAAAACGUUUUGUAAGCGAAAUGGAGUCAGACAUGUCACCUCUCCACCGUACUCGCCUCAUUCAAACGGUCUUGUGGAGAGAGCUGUGCAGACGCUGAAGCAGGGCCUACAACGUCAGUCUACAGGUAGCCUGAGUACUCGUCUGUCGAGGUUUUUGUUCCGCUACCGCAGUAUGCCCCACAGCGUGACGCAGCAGUCUCCCGCUGAGAUGCUCCUCGGCCGGCCAAUGCGGACUCAGCUGGACCUGCUGCGUGAAGACGCCAGACGGAGCGUGAUGGAGGCGUACCAGAGGAAGCAGAAGGCUCAGUAUGACGUGAGAGCACAGCCUCGCAUAUUCCAGACGUGUCGGUGCCGAACCACGAGUACCGGCGGACGAUGGUGCCAGAUGAGCCUCCGGACUCCUCUGCUCUGGACAGCGCCGCUCACGCCGUCGCCGGAGAAUCCAGAGACGCGACUGUGGGCGGUGCGGAGGCGUCAGAGACCGGCGCCCUCCCCUCUGAGAAGUGCGCGGACGUCGGACGACAUCCCUCGACGUCGUCGCCGUCUCCGCCGUCGCGGUUCGAGGCUGCGACCGCUUCUGCGCCGGUGCCGCGUCGUUCAGCGCGGGAGAGGCGUUGCCCAGUGCGAUUCCGGGCGGGGCAGUCUAAUCCUGUGGGGGAGGAGUGUGGUGACUUGAUGUAAAUCAAAUGCGUGUGACAUGGAUCCGGCGGUAUCCGGCUACCCGCCGCCCUCCGCUAGCGCCACGCCUGCCGGGUAGGCUGACCCGGGCGGGGCGGCCGACCGCCGGGUCGCGGCGGCGGCCUGACCUUGGGGUCGUCAGUCGGGUCGGGAGCGCAGCGGCCGCCGGGCUGUGGUGUAUUGGUAUGGUGUCAGUGGUCGCCGA